GAGGGCUUGGGAAAACUUUGGAGAAGGAUCUUCCAGCAUCCCUUCAUUGGACUACAGCUGGCUAGUGGAUUACUGAGUGCUGGCAUACAGUGAAGUGCAGCUGCAGCAGAUAGGAAGAAUGCAUCAUGGAGUUGCUGGGAGGACUGGAGGAAGCUGCUGGGAUAAGCAGGAAUGAUGACCGACGAACAGGAUCUAGAGGCAGCACUCAAUCCCGAGUCCAGAGGGUGGAGGAGACGUUGUGAUGUGUCUGUGGUUGUGGUGGGCUCACGCUGAGCGGGGAGAUUGAAGAGGGAUACUCCAGAGCACACUCUCCAUGAGCAAGGGAGGAAAGAGAGAUCUGUGAUGUGGUGAGAUGAAGGAGAAGGAGGGAUAGAUGAUGUGGUGCAGCAGGUGGAGAUGUUCUCGUAAGCUGGAUGAUCACAGCCACACGGGCCCCCCUUGUCUGCCGCCUCACUCCAAAACAUCCCUAACAGAUCAAUCCAUUACUUACUGAAACACACCGUGGCCUGUCUGUGAUUUUUGUCUGGUGUUCACGCUGAGAGACUGCAUGUUGCUCUACAGUUUUCAAGGCAAAUAAAUGUGAGCGGAAAACGAGAGGUAAUAUUAAAUCAACAUGAUGUGGGAAGGUAAUAUCUUGUCUAUGGUUCUGUCUUAAAUAAGUCAAAUUUUGCUCAUGCCCAGUUUGUUUUGCCAGGUCAUGGCACCAGAAAAUCAGCAGCAUACAAAACACAUGAAUGUAACAUUGAAAAAAAUGCACAGUAAGAAAACCCCUGACCUUGUGGGCCACUGUUGUCCAUAGCAACAAACGGAUGAACCACAUUAACAUAAGAUAUUAUGGGAGAAUUACAAGCAAUUUUAGUCUUCUUAGUCAAUCUUUUGCUAAUGGGUGUUUCUUCAA
Long non-coding RNA from Sinocyclocheilus anshuiensis, 898 nucleotides. RefSeq lists it as uncharacterized. NCBI's taxonomy places the organism in Eukaryota, Metazoa, Chordata, Actinopteri, Cypriniformes, Cyprinidae. The transcript is spliced from 3 exons. The record is from RefSeq and is a predicted model, not a curated record.